GAAGAGAGGUGCUGUAGCUGAGUGGUUAGAGCACCUGCUGCGCCUGCAGAAGGUCCCAGCUUCAACCCCUGGUGUCUUCA
Molecule: non-coding RNA, 80 nt
Organism: Podarcis lilfordi (Lilford's wall lizard)
Lineage: Eukaryota; Metazoa; Chordata; Lepidosauria; Squamata; Lacertidae
Source: the annotation of a GenBank genome assembly